AGAGUUUGAUCCUGGCUCAGAGUGAACGCUGGCGGCGUGCCUAAUACAUGCAAGUCGAACGAUGAAGCUUCUAGCUUGCUAGAAGUGGAUUAGUGGCGCACGGGUGAGUAACGCAUAGGUCAUGUGCCUCUUAGUUUGGGAUAGCCAUUGGAAACGAUGAUUAAUACCAGAUACUCCCUACGGGGGAAAGAUUUAUCGCUAAGAGAUCAGCCUAUGUCCUAUCAGCUUGUUGGUAAGGUAAUGGCUUACCAAGGCUAUGACGGGUAUCCGGCCUGAGAGGGUGAACGGACACACUGGAACUGAGACACGGUCCAGACUCCUACGGGAGGCAGCAGUAGGGAAUAUUGCUCAAUGGGGGAAACCCUGAAGCAGCAACGCCGCGUGGAGGAUGAAGGUUUUAGGAUUGUAAACUCCUUUUGUUAGAGAAGAUAAUGACGGUAUCUAACGAAUAAGCACCGGCUAACUCCGUGCCAGCAGCCGCGGUAAUACGGAGGGUGCAAGCGUUACUCGGAAUCACUGGGCGUAAAGAGCGCGUAGGCGGGAUAGUCAGUCAGGUGUGAAAUCCUAUGGCUUAACCAUAGAACUGCAUUUGAAACUACUAUUCUAGAGUGUGGGAGAGGUAGGUGGAAUUCUUGGUGUAGGGGUAAAAUCCGUAGAGAUCAAGAGGAAUACUCAUUGCGAAGGCGACCUGCUGGAACAUUACUGACGCUGAUUGCGCGAAAGCGUGGGGAGCAAACAGGAUUAGAUACCCUGGUAGUCCACGCCCUAAACGAUGGAUGCUAGUUGUUGGAGGGCUUAGUCUUUCCAGUAAUGCAGCUAACGCAUUAAGCAUCCCGCCUGGGGAGUACGGUCGCAAGAUUAAAACUCAAAGGAAUAGACGGGGACCCGCACAAGCGGUGGAGCAUGUGGUUUAAUUCGAAGAUACACGAAGAACCUUACCUAGGCUUGACAUUGAGAGAAUCCGCUAGAAAUAGUGGAGUGUCUAGCUUGCUAGACCUUGAAAACAGGUGCUGCACGGCUGUCGUCAGCUCGUGUCGUGAGAUGUUGGGUUAAGUCCCGCAACGAGCGCAACCCCCUUUCUUAGUUGCUAACAGGUCAUGCUGAGAACUCUAAGGAUACUGCCUCCGUAAGGAGGAGGAAGGUGGGGACGACGUCAAGUCAUCAUGGCCCUUACGCCUAGGGCUACACACGUGCUACAAUGGGGUGCACAAAGAGAAGCAAUACUGCGAAGUGGAGCCAAUCUUCAAAACGCCUCUCAGUUCGGAUUGUAGGCUGCAACUCGCCUGCAUGAAGCUGGAAUCGCUAGUAAUCGCAAAUCAGCCAUGUUGCGGUGAAUACGUUCCCGGGUCUUGUACUCACCGCCCGUCACACCAUGGGAGUUGUGUUUGCCUUAAGUCAGGAUGCUAAAUUGGCUACUGCCCACGGCACACACAGCGACUGGGGUGAAGUCGUAACAAGGUAACCGUAGGUGAACCUGCGGUUGGAUCACCU
This 1491-nucleotide ribosomal RNA is filed under the name Helicobacter pylori GAM245Ai. Its description in RNAcentral is "bacterial SSU rRNA". It matches the Rfam family "Bacterial small subunit ribosomal RNA". Lineage: Bacteria; Pseudomonadati; Campylobacterota; Epsilonproteobacteria; Campylobacterales; Helicobacteraceae. The record is from RNAcentral.